ACGGAAGGCAGCAGUGAGGAAUAUUGGUCAAUGGCCGGUAGGCUGAACCAGCCAAGUAGCGUGAGGGAUGGCGGCCCUAUGGGUUGUAAACCUCUUUUGUCGGGGAAUAAAGUGCUCCACGCGUGGGGCAUUGCAUGUACCCGUCGAAUAAGCAUCGGCUAACCCCGUGCCAGCAGCCGCGGUAAUACGGAGGAUGCGAGCGUUAUCCGGAUUUAUUGGGUUUAAAGGGAGCGUAGGCGGGAUGUCAAGUCAGCUGUGAAAUGUAGUCGCUCAACGUCUGCACUGCAGUUGAAACUGGCGUUCUUGAGUGCGUAAGAGGCAGGCGGAAUUCGUCGUGUAGCGGUGAAAUGCUUAGAUAUGACGAAGAACUCCGAUUGCGAAGGCAGCCUGCUGGGCCGCAACUGACGCUGAAGCUCGAAGGUGCGGGUAUCAAACAGGAUUAGAUACCCUGGUA
RNAcentral lists this ribosomal RNA (454 nucleotides) under uncultured bacterium. RNAcentral's name for it is "partial 16S ribosomal RNA". It matches the Rfam family "Bacterial small subunit ribosomal RNA", at positions 341 to 792 of the family's 1533-position model. The record is from RNAcentral.